UUUGCUCACCAAUGAAAAUUUUGUGUGAAAUCGCCAAGGAAAUCAGCUACUCGAAUCAUUGAGGAAUAGCAUGCAAUGAAAUCCUUACUGAAAGGCAUUGCGUUUUUGCUAUGAUUAUACAAUCCACCCUAUCUUUUUCCUUGUAAAAUAUUUCAUUCCCGAUAUGAAGCACGAGAUGGGUGUUUUGUUUUUGUUUAUAUUUGCCUUUUUCUUCUCUACCUGCCACUGAAUGAUACGGAGAUUGGCUUCAGUUUUAGAAUUUCAAUGCUCGGGUUUUUUACAUACAAUAAAAAAUUGCCGUUCCCGUUCGUCAGCCUGGUUUGCUUCGAGAAACAAAGUUAUUUCCAACAACAACGACCGACGGUGAUGGCGACGCAUGGUUGAAGGAUUGCAACGAUCGGGUUUUUUACAUAUCAUAAAACUUCGAUUCUCGAUCCUCAGCCUGGUUUGCUUAGAAACAAAUUUAUUUCCAACAACAACGCGCAGUGUUCGGGGUAAGUGAUUUGUUUUGAAAGCAUUGUUGUUUUUCCGAGAAACUGUUUUUCAGUUGAAUUCCAUUGUUCAUAGUGUCAACAAGUGAGUAAAGCUUCAAAUUAUUAAAAAGAGUUUAAAAAAUAAAUUAUAAGCGUAAAAAAGUGAAUAUUUAGGUAAAUUGGUAGGUAAUUGUGUUCAAAUGGACAAGGAAAAUAUUCAGGUAAUUUUAUUUAAAUUACAAAUCCCUUUCUACAAUUAUCUAAUCCUAUGUUUUUGCUCUUUUUCUAAAGGCUUCCGGAUCUAAACAGUCGGCAAUGGACUCCAUUGAAUUUUCACCCACAAAGCAGCCAAGGCGGAUUUUUAAGAAAACGAAUCAACAAGAUAUGAUAGACGAAAUGAGAGCGGACAUUAAACGUUUGUGUGUCACCACGGAGCAGCUAAAAAAUGGGAUCUGCACAUUGGCAGCAUUUUUUUCAAUAAAAUCAAUAAAAUUUA
Molecule: long non-coding RNA, 969 nt
Organism: Eupeodes corollae
Lineage: Eukaryota; Metazoa; Arthropoda; Insecta; Diptera; Syrphidae
Exons: 2
Source: RefSeq, a predicted model, not a curated record